GGAAGCUAGACUCGGCCGGUGCCGGGCGCGGUCUUCAAAACCGUUGUUUGUCGUUCUGCGGCAAAAGUGGGUUCGACUCCCACUAGCUUCCGCCA
Molecule: transfer RNA, 95 nt
Filed under: Bryobacterales bacterium
Lineage: Bacteria; Pseudomonadati; Acidobacteriota; Terriglobia; Bryobacterales
Description: tRNA-Sec
Rfam family: Selenocysteine transfer RNA
Source: RNAcentral